CGCGAUGCGGGAGAGCCCAACCGGUCCUCUUGCAGGAACGGUAUGGCGCCGACGGAGCAACCGCCCCCGGAAACUCUCAGGCACAAUCACCGCAU
RNAcentral lists this non-coding RNA (95 nucleotides) under uncultured Methylobacterium sp. RNAcentral describes it as "Glycine riboswitch". It matches the Rfam family "Glycine riboswitch aptamer", at positions 8 to 87 of the family's 94-position model. From Rfam's summary of the family: This family represents the bacterial glycine riboswitch. Glycine riboswitches usually consist of two metabolite-binding aptamers domains with similar structures in tandem. The aptamers cooperatively bind glycine to regulate the expression of downstream genes. The record is from RNAcentral. Lineage: Bacteria; Pseudomonadati; Pseudomonadota; Alphaproteobacteria; Hyphomicrobiales; Methylobacteriaceae.